AGAGCAGCAGCCAGUCUCCCCACAUUCCAGCCUACUCACAUUAUUACUUUGACGUCCCCUUGAAGAAUCUGUGCUGAGGUUCACACGCCAAGGCCGUGUUACCACUCCCCCACCCCGUUGGCAUCUGGAGAGCUCCCAGACCCACCGCUGAGGAAAGCAGAACUGGGAGGCAAAGGAGAAACAAAGUCGCCCAGUUAUGUUUCUUCAUAAUCUCGAUGGAGGUUUUCAAGGUGAAGCUCAAAUAAAGGAGGUAGCCCGAGUCGAAUCCUGAUUUUCUAACUACAAAGGUUGAUCUGAAGAACAAAAAAUUAGCUCAUUCUUGAGCAGGUAGGCCCAGCAAAUCCCAGAGAAUUUCCACCACAGCAAACGGUUCUCACCUUCACCAUUCCCAUAGGUGAGCUGAGACUCGGUUUCCAGCAACAGCUGAGGAAUACUGGCUGUUUCCAUCCAGCGUCUGUUCUGACUAGGGAUGCAAGUGACUCAAGAGGUGCUUACGACUAAAGAUGUAACCUCAGCUGUGGAGGUUGGCUCCAGGUGUGGAUAUGUGAGGGAAAUCUCAGUCAAGGCAGAGGGAAUCUCAGACUUUGGCUGCGAAUUCCAGGAGACACAUGCUCUCCUUGUUCUUGAUGGUGUGACCUGCAGUUGUGGGGGCUGGACUUGCUGCAGUCACUUUGUCACCAUGAGGAAAACCAGCUUGAAGAAGAAGCCGAGAAGGACAGAGCUGAGAGCAUAAUAAAAAAUUAUACAAUAGGUAGAGUUCUGAACAAAUUGUGCCUGAAGCGUACUGUACCUCUGAACUACAGGAGCUAAUAUAUGCUCUUACAUAAUGUAGCCAAUUUGAUGUGGACUUUUUAUAACUUGAAACAAAAAUAACUCCAUCUGAUGUAAUAACUGUGCAUAGUAUAAGAUGGGUACUAGAGUUAUAGAUGGAAGAGGGAUUUGGGGGCAGGUGAAAAAGGUG
Hipposideros armiger (great roundleaf bat) is the source of this 961-nucleotide long non-coding RNA. RefSeq lists it as uncharacterized. Lineage: Eukaryota; Metazoa; Chordata; Mammalia; Chiroptera; Hipposideridae. The record is from RefSeq and is a predicted model, not a curated record. The transcript has 3 exons.